RNAcentral lists this ribosomal RNA (481 nucleotides) under uncultured bacterium. Its description in RNAcentral is "bacterial SSU rRNA". It matches the Rfam family "Bacterial small subunit ribosomal RNA", at positions 30 to 507 of the family's 1533-position model. The record is from RNAcentral.
AUUGAACGCUGGCGGCAUGCUUUACACAUGCAAGUCGACGGUAACAGCACUUCGGUGGCUGACGAGUGGCGAACGGGUGAGUAAUGUAUCGGAACGUGCCCAGUAGUGGGGGAUAACUACUCGAAAGAGUGGCUAAUACCGCAUGAGAUCUCUGGAUGAAAGCGGGGGACCGUAAGGCCUCGCGCUACUGGAGCGGCCGAUAUCAGAUUAGGUUGUUGGUGGGGUAAAGGCCUACCAAGCCUGCGAUCUGUAGCUGGUCUGAGAGGACGACCAGCCACACUGGGACUGAGACACGGCCCAGACUCCUACGGGAGGCAGCAGUGGGGAAUUUUGGACAAUGGACGCAAGUCUGAUCCAGCAAUGCCGCGUGCAGGACGAAGGCCUUCGGGUUGUAAACUGCUUUUGUACGGAACGAAAAGCCUUCUUCUAAUACGGGAGGGUCAUGACGGUACCGUAAGAAUAAGCACCGGCUAACUACGUG